ACAACAACGGGAUGACAGCAAUACAGUGAUACAGAGAUUAGCAUGGCCCCUGCUCAGGGGUGACAUGCAAAUUCGUGGAGCAUUGCAUGUAAAA
This 94-nucleotide small nuclear RNA is filed under the name Sorex araneus (European shrew). The record is from RNAcentral. Lineage: Eukaryota; Metazoa; Chordata; Mammalia; Eulipotyphla; Soricidae.